RNAcentral lists this long non-coding RNA (1385 nucleotides) under Fukomys damarensis (Damara mole-rat). RNAcentral's name for it is "lncRNA (ENSFDAG00000024601.1)". Lineage: Eukaryota; Metazoa; Chordata; Mammalia; Rodentia; Bathyergidae. The record is from RNAcentral.
CUUGUGUAGAGGGAGGGGUGUAGCAGGUGGGGAUUAAAAUAGAGGUGCCAGUGGCUAUGAAUAGGCACCUAGUUCAGUUUAUACAACUCCAAAGAAGCCUCAAAAACAAAAAAAUUAAAAUGCCAGGAUGGCUACCAGUUACUUAUUAGGAAAGGAAACAUGACUUUAUUUAAUUUCAGGAGAUGAAACUACCCUAACAUUACCUUUUCCCUGAGGAGCGGGGUGGGAUGGGGCCAAGAGGACUGUCCCUUUUCUAGGCAGUCUGCAGGGCUCAAAGACAAGCAGGGCCCCUGCACCAGCACCAUGCUCUGACUGACUUCAGAAAAUAUCAUAUUUCUGCCCAUCAAUCAGCAGUAGGCUGGUUAGGGGCUGUGCUUUAGGAACAAGCAGUUGCUAGUAGCAACAGGGCACAGCUCCUUCAGGAGCUGGGGUGGGGACACUGUAGUGAGGGAGGGGUCACCUGCAUGAGAGCUGGGCGGACAAGGUGAGGGACUCCAUCUGGAAGGGAGCUGCUGGGGUCAAGAAGGGGCCUAGGCUGCUGAGCUCAAGGAGCGGGUAUGUUUCUAGUGGUGCAGCAAUGCCUUCACCAAAUUCAGCAGCCCCUGCCCACCCCACCCCCAUUCCCAGGAGCCAAAAUUUGCUAGAGACUGAACACUGGAGUCAAGACCAAGGGACCGCAGAGGCGCAGGGUGGGUAGGCAGGGUUACUCAGGACAACCCCCGAACCCGCCCCAUACAACCGUCACCCUUCAGGAGUCUCCGGGAAGUGCCAGCGUGGAAGUGUGUCUGCACGUGUGCAUGCUUUCCUUUGCGCUUCUAACACAAAAGCGAGGCCCCACAGGUGGAAAGGAGCGUGCGCGAGUGCGGCGCGGGGCUUGACCGCGUGGGAGCGGGAGCAGGAGCGGCAGCAGAACGUGGGUGCACGCACACUGCACCCUCGCGGACCUGCCUCGCGCGUUCUCGCGCAGGCUUUCUGGGAAGACAACCUUUAACCUCGCACCACCUUCCCGAACUUCUCCCCCUGCUGUUGGGAUCCGUUUCUAGUAAAAAAGAAAGAAAAAAUCCAUUCCGGCAGGCCCUGCUCCCUCGGCACCCCCACCCCCAGCUCAGUCUGAGUGGAACGAAUCUCUGCUAAUGAACUAAACAAACAGGUCCCUUAAUCUCAUCAUGGGGCUGACCCAGAGACUGGCACAGAUAUCCAAAGUAUUGUUAAUUGGCAGGUAAGAGCUGGAACUAAUAGCCAUUUGUCUGGAGUCAGAAGUUGGUUCCCAAGUACAUUGGGGAAUUCAGCUUAUGCAGGGAGAAUGGGAAUGUAAUUGGCGAAGAAGCUGGACCCUCUGCCUCCUGUUGGCAUUUCUGGAAAUAAAAGGAAAUCUACUUUGGGCA